Molecule: transfer RNA, 76 nt
Filed under: Caldifarciminota bacterium 4484_18
Lineage: Bacteria; Pseudomonadati; Caldifarciminota
Description: tRNA-Thr
Rfam family: tRNA
About the family: Transfer RNA (tRNA) molecules are approximately 80 nucleotides in length. Their secondary structure includes four short double-helical elements and three loops (D, anti-codon, and T loops).
Source: RNAcentral
GCCCAGGUAGCUCAGUGGGUAGAGCACUUCCUUGGUAAGGAAGAGGGCACCGGUUCGAGUCCGGUCCUGGGCUCUA